AGCUGCUGGGAGCUGCUGGGAGCUGCUGGGACAAGAUACUUCACAUAACUGGAUUAGGUUUGAAAACUACUGGCAAAUACUAAACACAACACAGAACACAAAAAAAUACAUUAGCUGAACCUGAACUACCCGGAACAAUGACACACAUUUACAUGUUAUUAUUUAGCUGAUCUGUUAUCAAAAGGACUUACUGAUGCUCAGGGAAGUUCUGAGGGCCUCCCAGUCAGGACCAAGAGACAAUCCUGUUCACAGUGUAGCAACAUCUCAUCUCAGACACACCACAAGAAGGUUUGGUCACACAACCACUUCCUAACGAGCACACACUUGAAAAUAGUUUAGGAGUAUACUUUAAUGACAAGAGUGCUUAAACACACUUCUUAAGUCAGGAGUCACCGACCUCCUGCUUCACAGCUGGGACAUCUGCAGUACAACAGACAGCACAGCGUCAGGUGAGAGGCUGGGUCACCUCAGCUCCAGGUGAGAGGCUGGGUCACCUCAGCUCCAGGUGAAAGGCUGGGUCAUAGCUCCAGGUGAGAGGCUGGGUCACCUCAGUUCCAGGUGAGAGGCUGGGUCAUAGCUCCAGGUGAGAGGCUGGGUCACCUUAGCUCCAGGUGAGAGGCUGGGUCACCUCAGCUCCAGGUGAGAGGCUGGGUCACCUCAGUUCCAGGUGAGAGGCUGGGUCACCUCAGCUCCAGGUGAGAGGCUGGGGCUGCCAGUGGAGGGUCGGUCUGACUGGGAGAGGCCUCACUGACGUUACAAGCUCUCCUCCGGCUCUUCCAGGAAUGGGCUGGCAGACCGGUUUAUACUGGUUUAUAUUUAGGGGUUAUGAGAGUGAAUGGAGUUUUAUGGUCUGCUAUAAAUGUCAUUCUCCAAAGAGGGGUGUUGGGGGUGAGUGUGGAGGCUGAUGUAUGUACAGUUCCUCCAGGUCUUGAUGCUUCCUGCUUCCCCAUGGGAAAGGAGCUGAAACAAAGAAUCUGUCCAGUGGCAGUCCCUGUGUGUGUGCUGGGCUGGGCUGGAAGGGCGCGGUGCAACACCCAGAGGAACGGCUUGUUUACUUUUGUCUUUUUGUUUUCUGACUUUGUCUGGAGGUUUUCUCUCUGGGAGUGAAAGGCAAAUAAACACAUUCCUGACGAUGUGGCGGAUCACAUAGUAGAAAAGUGGACACCAGGCUGGGAGCUGAAGGGAGCCACUCCCCCCCCCCUCCUCAUCCUCCUCAACCUUCCUCCCUUUGAUUCAAGGAAUGAAACACAACAUAUUGCCCCGCCUUUAGGGCGUCAUCCCAUGUCUGAUUGGAUGAAUGUUUCAGGAAGAGGAAGUGGUUGCCAGCACAGCAGAGGAGCUGAAACAGAGCUAGUUUGGUAGCUAGCGACACUUUUAUAAACACGUUAUAUCUCUA
Long non-coding RNA from Osmerus eperlanus (European smelt), 1396 nucleotides. RefSeq lists it as uncharacterized. The record is from RefSeq and is a predicted model, not a curated record. The transcript has 4 exons. Lineage: Eukaryota; Metazoa; Chordata; Actinopteri; Osmeriformes; Osmeridae.